This 254-nucleotide ribosomal RNA is filed under the name uncultured bacterium. RNAcentral describes it as "partial 16S ribosomal RNA". It matches the Rfam family "Bacterial small subunit ribosomal RNA", at positions 524 to 776 of the family's 1533-position model. The record is from RNAcentral.
UACGGAGGGUGCGAGCGUUGUCCGGAAUCAUUGGGCGUAAAGGGCGCGUAGGUGGCCCGGUCAGUUCGUGGUGAAAGCGCGGGGCUCAACCCUGCGUCGGCCAUGAAUACUGCCGCGGCUGGAGCACUGUAGAGGCAGGCGGAAUUCCGGGUGUAGCGGUGAAAUGCGUAGAGAUCGGAAAGAACACCAACGGCGAAAGCACUCUGCUGGGCCGACACUGACACUGAGAGACGAAAGCUAGGGGAGCGAAUGGG